This 702-nucleotide ribosomal RNA is filed under the name uncultured archaeon. RNAcentral describes it as "bacterial SSU rRNA". It matches the Rfam family "Archaeal small subunit ribosomal RNA", at positions 156 to 859 of the family's 1478-position model. The record is from RNAcentral.
UAGGCAAUUAUUCCUGGAAUGGUUUUUUGUUUAAAUGUUUUUUCGCCUAAGGAUGGGUCUGCGGCCGAUUAGGUAGUUGGUUAGGUAAUGGCUUACCAAGCCGUUGAUCGGUACGGGUUGUGAGAGCAAGAGCCCGGAGAUGGAACCUGAGACAAGGUUCCAGGCCCUACGGGGUGCAGCAGGCGCGAAACCUCCGCAAUGUGAGAAAUCGCGACGGGGGGAUCCCAAGUGCCAUUCUUAACGGGAUGGCUUUUCAUUAGUGUAAAGAGCUUUUGGAAUAAGAGCUGGGCAAGACCGGUGCCAGCCGCCGCGGUAACACCGGCAGCUCUAGUGGUAGCAAUUUUUAUUGGGCCUAAAGCGUCCGUAGCCGGUUUAAUAAGUCUCUGGUGAAAUCCUGUAGCUUAACUGUGGGAAUUGCUGGAGAUACUAUUAGACUUGAGACCGGGAGAGGUUAGAGGUACUCCCAGGGUAGAGGUGAAAUUCUGUAAUCCUGGGAGGACCGCCUGUUGCGAAGGCGUCUAACUGGAACGGUUCUGACGGUGAGGGACGAAAGUUAGGGGCGCGAACCGGAUUAGAUACCCGGGUAGUCCUAACUGUAAACGAUGCGGACUUGGUGUUGGGGUGGCUUUGAGCUGCUCCAGUGCCGAAGGGAAGCUGUUAAGUCCGCCGCCUGGGAAGUACGGUCGCAAGACUGAAACUUAA